GUGCUCACUUCAGCAGCACAUAUAUGAAAAAUUGGAACGAUACAGAGAAGAUUAGCAUGGCCCCUGUGCAAGGAUGACAUGCAAAUUCGUGAAGCGUUCCAUGUUUCU
This 108-nucleotide small nuclear RNA is filed under the name Cebus imitator (Panamanian white-faced capuchin). Lineage: Eukaryota; Metazoa; Chordata; Mammalia; Primates; Cebidae. The record is from RNAcentral.